GACGAACGCUGGCGGCGUGCUUAACACAUGCAAGUCGAGCGAUGAAACACCUUCGGGUGUGAAUUAGCGGCGAACGGGUGAGGAACACGUGAAGAAUCUGCCUUCAACUCUGGGAUAACUCCGGGAAACCGGGGCUAAUACCGGAUAUGAGCCUUGAUCGCAUGAUCGGGGCUGGAAAGUUUUUCGGUUGAAGAUGACUUCGCGGCCUAUCAGCUUGUUGGUGAGGUAAUGGCUCACCAAGGCGACGACGGGUAGCCGGCCUGAGAGGGCGACCGGCCACACUGGGACUGAGACACGGCCCAGACUCCUACGGGAGGCAGCAGUGGGGAAUAUUGGGCAAUGGAGGAAACUCUGACCCAGCGACGCCGCGUGAGGGAUGAAGGCCUUCGGGUUGUAAACCUCUUUCAGUAGGGAAGAAGCGAAAGUGACGGUACCUACAGAAGAAGCA
This 448-nucleotide ribosomal RNA is filed under the name uncultured Actinomycetales bacterium. Its description in RNAcentral is "bacterial SSU rRNA". It matches the Rfam family "Bacterial small subunit ribosomal RNA", at positions 28 to 492 of the family's 1533-position model. Lineage: Bacteria; Bacillati; Actinomycetota; Actinomycetes; Actinomycetales. The record is from RNAcentral.